CUGGUAUCCUGUAGAGAUUCUCGGCAUAUCAGCUUCUUGGUGAGGUACCGGCUCACCAAGGCCACGACGGGUAGUUGGUCUGAGAGGACGAUCAGGCACACUGUGAUUGAGACACGGCCCAGAGUUCUUCGUGAGGCAGCAGUAGGGAAUCUUGCACAAUGGGCGAAAGCCUGACGCAGCAACGCCGCGUGGGGGAUGACGGCUUUUGGGUUGGAAACUCCUUUCAGCAGGGACGAAACUGACGGUGCCUGCAGAAGAAGCACCGCCCAAGUACGUGCCAGCAGCCGCGGUAACACGUAGGGGGCAAGCGUUGUCCGGAAUUAUUGGGCGUAAAGAGCUCGUAGGUGGUUCGGUAAGUCAGGUGUGAAAGGCUGGGGCUCAACCCUAGGGCCGCACCUGAUACUGCUGUGACUCGAGUCCGGUAGAGGAGUGUGGAAUUCUUGGUGUAGCGGGGAAAUGGGCAGAUAUCAGGAGGAACACCAGCGGCGAAGGGGGCACUCUGGGCCGGUACUGACACUGAGGAGAGAAAGCGUGGGGAGCAAACAGGAUUAGAUACCCUGGUAGUCCACGCCGUAAACGUUGGGCACUAGGUGUGGGGUCUUAUCAACGGAGUCCGCGCUGUAGCUAAGGCAUUAAGUACCCAACCUGGGGAGUACGGA
RNAcentral lists this ribosomal RNA (659 nucleotides) under uncultured bacterium. Its description in RNAcentral is "bacterial SSU rRNA". It matches the Rfam family "Bacterial small subunit ribosomal RNA", at positions 211 to 886 of the family's 1533-position model. The record is from RNAcentral.